CAGUUAUUCAGAGCCGCUCCAGCUCGCUCGGUGAUUGGAUGGCAGUAACGAGGAAGCCAGCUUGGUUUACCAGCCGCUGCCUUCACCUGCGCACUGAAACGGGUCGGACACUGGAAGUAACUCAUCUCAACAAAAAAUUAUGAGAGAUCCUACUGGGUGUGGUGGUGCUAACUGGAGAUUCUCCUCAUCUGGUGGUAAUGGGAGAUGCCACUCACCCGCUGCUGUUUGACUUUCCCAGCCUACAUAAGAGCCAGUUUGCAGUCCACUCGUCGCCAGAUCGUUGCCUUACCCUAGUGGUACAACACCGGCCAUUAAGAGUUGUUUGAGUUUUUUGUGCACAGUCUUACGUGUAACUUUUGUCCUGCCACCUUUCCAGUCUGAAGAUCCCACCACAAGCUGUCAUUCUGGCCUGCUGUCCUGCCACCACCCCUGCCUCAGUUGCUUCCCAAGGACUGUGGACUCACUUUAAAUAAACCUGUUACCGCUUUACAGAAUCUGCUGUCUGCUCCUUCCUGGUUCCUGCCUGUCUUCCCGCAAACCUUAACAGUUUAAGAACUCCAUGUUCAGCUGUAUGUGUCUCUGUUUGGCACAGAUAUUAGCGUCAAUAUAGCCCACUCAGUUACCUCCAGGUCCACUGAAGGAAGCUUUUUCUCCUCUCAGUUCAGGCCACCAGCUCUCGUUAGUUGACAACCGCAGUCUGAAAAGGCAAUUUUGUUGUUUACAGCCAUUGUAGCAGUACUUAUAAGAAAACCAAAAUCCAAGGGCAGAAGUUUUUACAACAAUUUUGUUGUAAAAGUUCUUUUAGUGUAUUUCUGUUUUUGCUCAAACAAAAGGCAACACAAAGAUGUUUGUUACACUGUUUAUUGAUUGACAGGUAGCACUGAAAAGAAUACAGCAGGCACAAAAUACAACACUCUGAUUGGCCAGUAAUAUUGCAAAUCUUUUUUUUUCUCUAUGCCCAGUAUGUCACCCGCUCCUGCCCACCCCCAAAACACAGACAUUUUCUACAACUUUCAUGCUGGCUUAUUGGUCACAUUUCAUGGAAACAUUCUGCAUUUCUGUAGAAAAGAAAAAGAAAAGUAAACUACAGUACAUUCAUUUUUAGUGGGCAAAGUUCUCCUCUUUGGAAUAUUUUAGUUUUGACUAAGAAUGUAUAUUAUUACUGUGUUUACACAAGCUGAACUAGCUGCUUGGCUAGUGUUCAAAUACAUAAAUGUACUGUAAAGCUUGGCUUUGUAGAAAAACAAGGAAUUAUAUUUGCUAUAUGAGUACAUAAUUAUGUACUUUGAUUAUAUAUUAAAA
Molecule: long non-coding RNA, 1302 nt
Organism: Melanotaenia boesemani (Boeseman's rainbowfish)
Lineage: Eukaryota; Metazoa; Chordata; Actinopteri; Atheriniformes; Melanotaeniidae
Exons: 2
Source: RefSeq, a predicted model, not a curated record